This 253-nucleotide ribosomal RNA is filed under the name uncultured bacterium. Its description in RNAcentral is "partial 16S ribosomal RNA". It matches the Rfam family "Bacterial small subunit ribosomal RNA", at positions 524 to 776 of the family's 1533-position model. The record is from RNAcentral.
UACGUUGGGGGCAAGCGUUGUCCGGAUUUAUUGGGCGUAAAGAGCGUGUAGGCGGCUUUACAGGUCCGUUGUGAAAACUCGAGGCUCAACCUCGAGACGCCGGUGGAAACCGUAAAGCUAGAGUCCGGAAGAGGAGAGUGGAAUUCCUGGUGUAGCGGUGAAAUGCGCAGAUAUCAGGAAGAACACCUAUGGCGAAGGCAGCUCUCUGGGACGGUACUGACGCUGAGACGCGAAAGCGUGGGGAGCGAACAGG